Molecule: ribosomal RNA, 835 nt
Filed under: uncultured organism
Description: bacterial SSU rRNA
Rfam family: Bacterial small subunit ribosomal RNA
Source: RNAcentral
GGAGAGGCCGGUCAAUUCCUGCAUAACUUGAAGCUGUCAGAGCGGACCCGAAUGCCCGGUGUACCGGUCAAAUGCGCAGAGAUCGGGAGGUACACCAGUGCCGGAGCCGGUUCCCUGGGGCACACCUGACGCUGAGAGACGAAAGCUAGGGGANCGAACAGGAUUAGAGACCCUGGUAGUCCUAGCCCUUAACGAUGAAUGCUAGGUGUGGGAUCGAAUGGUUCCGUGCCGGAGCGAACGCGAUAAGCAUUCCGCCUGGGGAGUACGGCCGCAAGGUUAAAACUCAAACGAAUUGACGGGGCCCCGCACAAGCAGCGGAGCGUGUGGUUUAAUUCGAUGCUACACGAAGAACCUUACCUGGGUUUGACAUGUAGGUGGUAGUGAAUCGAAAGGUGAACGACCCUUCGGGGAGCCUACACAGGUGCUGCAUGGCUGUCGUCAGCUCGUGCCGUGAGGUGUCGGGUUAAGUCCCGUAACGAGCGCAACCCUUGCUCCUAGUUACAAGUGUCUAGGGGGACUGCCGGCGGAAAGCCGGAGGAAGGUGGGGAUGACGUCAAGUCAGCAUGGCCCUUAUAUCCAGGGCUACACACACGCUACAAUGGUCGGUACAAAGGGCAGCGAAACCGCGAGGCGGAGCGAAUCCGAGAAAAGCCGAUCGUAGUUCGGAUAGCAGGCUGCAACCCGCCUGCUUGAAGCUGGAGUUGCUAGUAACCGCGCGUCAGCCAUAGCGCGGUGAAUACGUUCCCGGGGCUUGUACACACCGCCCGUCACGUCAUGGGAGUCGGUAGCGCCUGAAGCCGCGUAGUCUAACUGGAAACAGGAGACGCUGUCGAGG